RNAcentral lists this long non-coding RNA (1104 nucleotides) under Sander lucioperca (pikeperch). RNAcentral's name for it is "lncRNA (ENSSLUG00000000180.1)". The record is from RNAcentral. Lineage: Eukaryota; Metazoa; Chordata; Actinopteri; Perciformes; Percidae.
GUUUGACUGUUGGAACAGAACAAAGUUCACAUCAUCAACAACAACAGAGGUGGCAUUUCUACCAAUGAGAGAGACAGGAAGAGAAGAAAGCUAAAGAGACGGAUAAUAAAGAAAGACAGACACAGAGAUAAUCACAACUUUUACCUCUGGACUGAACCGACCCUAUUUUCUCCCUGAGGAAUUAUUCUGUGGAUUAGUGAAACCUGAUGUGACACAACCACACCGACGGAAUUCUAAAACGUUUAAGUCUUGAAGUUAUGUGACUUAAGUACGGACGGACAACUGCCAGGACAACUAUGUAACGGCAGACAUCUGCAAGUAUUUUCCACCUACAUCCAUUCAAACCUGCCUUUUUGAGGAUCCUGAAAAACUUAUGGAGGUGCUGAGUGGCCCCUGGGCUGAUUUGGCUCUGCUUCUUCGACAGACCAUCACACAGACAGACAGAGAGACAGACAGCUUUCUUCCUCUCUGGCUGUUUGGCCUGCUGCUGUUCCUGUCUGUCUCUCUGCUGCUGCUGCAAUUGAUUAUCUACCUCAGCUGGAAACUCAGACAGGUUGAGGCUGAUCUGUCGUCGUUUCCGCAAGACAGAAGCGCCAUCUACCGGAAGAUGUGCGGAUGUACAAACCAGAGCAGGAGUGUUGGGUCGCACUCUCACACCUGACACACACACACACACACACACACACACACACACACACACACACACACACCACACACACACACACACACACACACACACACCACACACACACACACACACACACACACACACAAGCCUUAAGAAGAUGAAUGUUAAAGCCUGCAACAAAAAAUAAUUACUGUCAUUGACGGUGUGUAAAAAUUACUUGUCUGUUGUCUUUGAAACCCUCAGGGAAAUAUGGAAGCUAUCAAGACAACUGCCUCUCUUCUGCCUUCUCAGACAUCAUAAUGAAGCUAAAGGCUUCUCUUAGAGCUGUAUUUAUCUCGUUUAAGGGUGGUGGGACAAUCUGUCAACCUGAAAUAAUUUUUUCGUAUAACUGUACAGUUUUUUUUUAACAUACAUACAUAUAUACAUAUAUAUAUAUAUACAUACAUACAUAUAUACAUAUAUAUAUACAUAUAUGU